This 1282-nucleotide long non-coding RNA is filed under the name Homo sapiens (human). Its description in RNAcentral is "long intergenic non-protein coding RNA 382". The record is from RNAcentral. Lineage: Eukaryota; Metazoa; Chordata; Mammalia; Primates; Hominidae.
AUGUACAUUAUGGCUCUCUCCUUGCCUGGAACUGGAUAUGAGAAAUGCUUGAAUUAAGAUCUGUGAAUUAUCUUAUUUUCUUGGAGGCAAAGCUAAUGAAAACUCACAUCAUCAUGGUGCACAGGCAGAACUAGCCCACAGAAGCCCUGCUUGUUGGUCAAAGCUGGUCCAAGACUCCUUUUGCCAAGAUACUGCUGCUGCUACUAAUCCCCUCCUAGCUCCUUGGAGUACAGCCCAGAAAGGACAGAAUCUUACAGACAAAGUUGAAGUGAGAGAGAAAGCGAAGAAUGGGCACAUAAAAGGGAAUUUGCCCAGAUCUAGUCCUGAAAGACCUACAAGAUCCUGCAUUUUUUUCAGGUUUUUCACUAAUUUUAAAGACUCUGAGAAGUCUUAAUCUAGAUCCAGGCUCAGUCAGAAGGAUGCAGAUUGCCCAUACUUCAUAGCAGAGCAACAGGAGGGACUUAGGGACAAAAAGCUCAAAGGCAAGGAAGACUGAGGAAGCUAAGUUACUGGCCAUAUGUUUAAUAAAUAUAAGCUUAAUGGCAGUGAAUGUAUUAAUGUCAGCGAAGACAAGUCUAUGAAGUUAAACAGGCACAGAGAGGCUAAGAGUCUUGCCAAAGGCCACAGAGGAAGGAAGAGACUAAAUCUGGAACAAACUUUCUAUUCUCCAUUUCCAGAAGAAACCACUAAACCAUGCUUCCUCUUGUCAUGGAAGCUUAAAAUAUUUGGACUGUCUGUGGAUCCAGGGAGGAAUUUCAGAAGAGCCAGGAUUAGUCAAUCAAAUUAAACUCAAUAUCACCCAAAUAAAGUUGGUCAGAUCAAACUACGUUUAAAUAAGAAUUAAAAUGCCAUUUGUCCAUCACCUAAUGGCUCAAUUUGCUCCUGCCUUGGGUGUGCACACCCUGCUCUGGAACAGACCAGAGCUCUAAAGAAGUGACUGGAAGUUGUGAAUGUCAUUGUUAUGAAGCUUCAAAUUUGCUCUCCUCUUUAGGACACAGACAUGGCAUUAGAGAAGGGCAGAAAACUGCACUUGGCUGUGCAUAGAGAACACUAGAGACCUCUUGUGCAAGAGAGGGGACUAGGUUGCGUAGUGUAAUGAGAGAAGCAUGGGUUUUGAGACCGCUACAAUGUCUGUGUCUUCUUGGCCAACAUUUCAGUAAGAGUAGUAAGCAUAUCUCCACAAUAGGGUUAAGAGAACCAGUGUCUUCUGAAAAACACAUGAAAUCAUCGUAACCCUGCUAAGUCUGUGCUUUGCAAAAAUUAAAACUAAAACUAAUUUUCA